This 697-nucleotide ribosomal RNA is filed under the name uncultured bacterium. RNAcentral's name for it is "bacterial SSU rRNA". It matches the Rfam family "Bacterial small subunit ribosomal RNA", at positions 94 to 820 of the family's 1533-position model. The record is from RNAcentral.
AGUGGCGGACGGGUGAGUAACACGUGAGAAUUUGCCUUUAGGAGGGGGAUAACAAUCGGAAACGAAUGCUAAUACCCCAUAUGCUUUUGAGUGAAAUGGAUUUAUCCGCCUAAAGAGAAGCUCGCGGCUGAUUAGCUUGUUGGUGAGGUAAGAGCUUACCAAGGCGACGAUCAGUAUCUGGUUUGAGAGGACGAUCAGACACACUGGAACUGAGACACGGUCCAGACUCCUACGGGAGACAGCAGUGGGGAAUUUUCCGCAAUGGGCGAAAGCCUGACGGAGCAAUACCGCGUGAGGGAAGACUGCCUAUGGGUUGUAAACCUCUUUUUUCAGGGAGGAACAAAAUGACGUGUACCUGAAGAAUAAGCAUCGGCUAACUCCGUGCCAGCAGCCGCGGUAAGACGGAGGAUGCAAGUGUUAUCCGGAAUCACUGGGCGUAAAGCGUCUGUAGGUGGUUUAAUAAGUCAACUGUUAAAUCUUGAGGCUCAACUUCAAAAUCGCAGUCGAAACUAUUAGACUAGAGUAUAGUAGAGGUAAAGGGAAUUUCCAGUGGAGCGGUGAAAUGCGUAGAUAUUGGAAAGAACACCGAUGGCGAAAGCACUUUACUGGGCUAUUACUAACACUCAGAGACGAAAGCUAGGGUAGCAAAUGGGAUUAGAUACCCCAGUAGUCCUAGCCGUAAACUAUGGAUACUAGA